UACGGAGGGUGCAAGCGUUAUCCGGAUUUACUGGGUUUAAAGGGUGCGUAGGUGGGUUGGUAAGUCAGUGGUGAAAUCUCCGAGCUUAACUUGGAAACUGCCAUUGAUACUAUCAGUCUUGAAUAUUGUGGAGGUCAGCGGAAUAUGUCAUGUAGCGGUGAAAUGCUUAGAUAUGACAUAGAACACCAAUUGCGAAGGCAGCUGGCUACGCAUAUAUUGACACUGAGGCACGAAAGCGUGGGGAUCAAACAGG
This 253-nucleotide ribosomal RNA is filed under the name uncultured bacterium. RNAcentral's name for it is "partial 16S ribosomal RNA". It matches the Rfam family "Bacterial small subunit ribosomal RNA", at positions 524 to 776 of the family's 1533-position model. The record is from RNAcentral.